Molecule: unclassified non-coding RNA, 1439 nt
Filed under: Leishmania donovani
Lineage: Eukaryota; Euglenozoa; Kinetoplastea; Trypanosomatida; Trypanosomatidae
Description: gene:LdHU3.32.0410(CDS-product:hypothetical_prote in_conserved)
Source: RNAcentral
UCCUUUACCGUCGCACAACGCGGGCAGGGACGACAGGCCGCCCCUUCGAAACGUUUCCCGCUCACUACAUGAGCACCCGUGCAGAUGCACCACCUUGGUGGCCCGCCACUGUUUGGCAACGCUACGCUCUAUUGAUCGCUCUUGAACUUCUCUCUUACGCGUCGCGCACGCGCGUACGCCGGUUUCCGUCGGUAGUCUGCUGAGUUUUGCCAUGGCGUACUUGGCACUGAAAAGCGUCAGGGGCGCUUCCCGUGCACCGGCGAAGCGUCGGGCCGCGGCGAAUAGAAUUGUGGCAAUGUGUCGCGCCGGAGGUGCUUCUGGUGUCACUACCGCAGACGCUGCAACCAAGCCCGCCACUGCCGUAUCUGCCGAGACAAGGCCGGCGAUGGAUGAAGAUCACCCUAUUGGUCCAGUUGUGCAUGCUGACAGUCGCGUGCUGUUCUGUGGAACAUUCCCUCCCGUUAGGAAGAGCAUCCGCUUCUACUACCCGAACGCCAACAACGACAUGUGGAAGGUGCUCGGCCAGGUCUUCUAUGAUGAUGCCGAUGCUUUUUACACAGCCGCUUCACGCGCUUCCUCGUUAUUUUCAGCGCCGCCCCAGCACGCAAGCUGCCACGCCGCCACUCGGGCACUGGAUGAGGCUCGUAUCGUGCGCUUUGCUGACUCGCAGCCUGUGGGCUUCUUCGAUGUAUGCCGACGAGUUCGCCGUCGCCUUGGCACCUCGGCAGACGACAACAUCGAGGCGCUCGAGCGCACGAACGUUGUGAGGGACGUCCUUUCGCACACCCCUCACUGUGCAGGCAUCAUCACCACCGGCACGCUGGCACUCACAAUGCUCUUGGACGAUCUGUCAGUUCACGGAACGUUUCUCACGAGCAGUGAGGCACCUGUGGAGGUCGUCCUCAAGACGCGGCAGGGCAAGCGCAAGUACAAUAUUCCGCCCAUAGGGGGGCAGCUGAAGUGGGUACCAAGUGAGGCGUGCGCCUUCCGCAGUGCUGUCUGGAUUUACCGAGGUCCGUCGACUUCACGGGCACUGCCCCUCAAGCUUGAGGACAAGACGAGGCACUAUCGUCUUGCUGUUGCCGCGCAUCUUCCCCUUCCGCUGACGAGCGCGCCCGCAUCUGUGGCGAACAUGUAGCUAAAAGAGGAGAGGGGAAAGUAGUGCUGCGGGCAAGCCGCUCGCACCCUUCAUGCACCCUUGUCUCUCGCUGAACCACGUUGUAUGCAUUUUUUUCUGUGCAUUGGAAAUGCCAUUCAUGCUUUUUGUGCGCUUGAUUGCCCUCCCCUCGCUCUCGUCGUGCGUGUCUGCUCCCCGCCGUGCCCUUGCUGGACUUCAAUUUCGGAUUUGCUGGCUUCAGCUCCUACCUCUGUUGUGUUCCUCGACGCUCUUUGUUGUGGCUCUCAAAGCCCUACACCGCCGCUGAUCUAGGCGCCUCUAC